GGGCGAGUGGCGGAAUAGGCAGACGCGCAGGAUUCAGGUUCCUGUAUCCGUAAGGAUGUGAGGGUUCAACUCCCUUCUCGCCCACCA
RNAcentral lists this transfer RNA (87 nucleotides) under Actinomycetota bacterium. RNAcentral describes it as "tRNA-Leu". It matches the Rfam family "tRNA". Rfam says of the family: Transfer RNA (tRNA) molecules are approximately 80 nucleotides in length. Their secondary structure includes four short double-helical elements and three loops (D, anti-codon, and T loops). The record is from RNAcentral. Lineage: Bacteria; Bacillati; Actinomycetota.